AGGUCAUUUUCCUAUUUCUGGAGGUGGUGCAAACAGGAAAAAAAAUAGGAAAUUCUGUAUUAGUGCAUUUGAUGGAAUGCAGCUAUAUAAAGGGUCCUCUAAUCCCUGAUUCCCCUCUCACUACACAACUCACUACACCACAUUAAGUCCGUGGGGGGCAAAAACUAUUCUGCAUCAGUUCAAGCACAAACUAACAAGGUUAGAUCAUAUAUAAGUCAUAUUUAUUCUUACUACUUGGUUAAUAAGUUUGUAUGUGUAUAUGCCUGAGAUAUGAAUUUGUUUAUUCUGCUAUACAUAUAUUGCUUUUACAGUAUGAAUGCAUAUAUAUUUUAAUUUCAUAUAUGUAUACAAAUCUCUCCAAAAAUAUUUGUUUAGAAUAUGUUAUAAAUUAUAUUUGAAAUAUAAAUGAACAAAUUUCAAAAUAAAUUUAAUAUUCCACAAAGAAACAUCGGAUUUAUUCGCCGGCUUUAGCCUCCAAUUUAAACCGGUGACCGGUGGAGGAGAUGAUGGCGGAGCGGUAGCGAAACUAGAGGUGGUGGCUGCGUUGGCAGUCUCAUCGGCGCCUUGGGGAGAGGAUCCGGUCACGGAUCUUCGGCGAAGGGAGCCGACGAAGAGGCUGGGUUUCCGGUGGUGGAUACAUCGUUGGAGAAUCUGGCUGCGAAAAUGGAACGGCGACCUUUGACAUACUUUCAUCUCUCUGUUGUCUGGUUGCGCAGAUUUACUGUAGAAGGCAAUUAGGUUUUUGGCUUUUGUUUGAACAAAUAAUAAGAAGCUGAUGGAAAGAUGAGCUGGACUAUUAAAAUUUUAUGGACCAAUUUGAAUUUAUUUAUGGCAUUUGGACUUCUUGAAUCUUGGAUCCAUUUAAUUUAAAGUUUGGGCUUAGUUAAUUGAUCAAGAUGGGCCUAUUUAUUUUUCAAUGGUUCUGGGCUUAUCCUUUAUCAUCAAAUUUUUAAUUGAGCUCCUUACUAAUUCUUCCAAAUGAAAUUUUAUUAAAUUAUAAUUCAAUUUGAGCUUCUUAAUUUUGAGCUUGUUUAGUUGAAUUUUAAUUUAAUAUAUGUGCUCAUAUUAAAUUGUUUAUGUAUUGCAAUUUAAUUAUGGAAUAUAAGUUGAUAAUAUGCGUAAUUUGAGCAUGCUACGUAUAUUUACUGCAAUAAUUAAUUGACUGUUAUAAUUAUGCAUUUAGAAAAGCAUGUCUAAGGAUGAAUUUAGAGCAUUUUAGGUCUGAAUUAAAUGCUUAUUAUGCAUGGUAUAGUGGCUUUUAGGUGAAUUUAGUGCCUUUAACGAUAGAUUAAGCAUAUUAACGCUCUUCAGUUGUGUCUAAUCAAAUGGCACAUUAAAAAUCCUAAAAGGAUAGUUUACCCUAUUUAAAGCCUUAACUAUAGGUGAAUUUACAUUCAUAUAGAACUUUCAAACUAUUGUACAUUGAAUGUGAGAAUGCAUGAACCAGGGAAAGUUUCUUGGGGAGGAAUACUAGUUUUAUGGCCUUGGCUCAAACGCUUUGUUGCUACUAGUCCCCUUGCGACACUACUCUGUCUAAAGAGUUGGUUUUUAAUGAAGCUUUGUCUUGACCAACUUUUCUGGGAGUAUACUUGGGAAUUGUUUAUCACAUGUCCGUAUAAUUUGUUUGUUAAGCUUUAAAUAAACCUAUGUCGAUAUGAUAAUACAAUUUUAGUUAAUUAAGGAGUAGCAACAACAUCUUUAAUUUAAUUAAAAUUGUAUAUUAAGACUCACUAAAUCACAUAAAGUUUAUACAUAAAUUGCGAUUAAUUAUAUGCAAUAUAAUAAAAUUUAGUCCACAGACAAUUUUGUUAUGUUUGUAUGAUUAAUUGGAAUAAAAUACUGAGCUGUGAUCAUAAUUUAGCCCACAUGCAAUUAUGGGCAAUUAUGCAUCGGAAUAUAGUUUUGUAGUUUUGUUGUUAUGUGUGGAAAAUCAAACUGAAACCGUACCUAUUCCGUUUCCACCAUUAUGUUUUGAUGGAUUCAUUAUGCAUAAAAAUUUAGCUGUGAUCAUAAUUUAGCCCACAGGCAAUUAUGUAUCGGAAUAUAGUUUGGUAGUUUUGUUGUUAUGUGUGGAAAAUCAAACUGAAAUCGUACCCAUUUCGUUUCCACCAUUAUGUUUUGAUGGAUUCAUUAUGCGUAAAAAUUUAGCCCACAUGUAAUUUUUAUGGCAUUCGAGUCUAUCUUAUGCAUCAUUUACAUUGGUAAUGUAUGCAAUUCGAUUCUAUGUGUGCCUCAAAACUAACAUGAACCUUUUGGUCUUCUUAGCAUCUCAACUCGUUACUCAUGCUGAUUUAACCAAUGAAAUUCUCCAACUCUGUAGUGACAACUAUAAAGUUUGGAAAGAAAGGAUUAUCUUGAAUUUAGGGUGGCAAGAGUUGGAUUAUGCUGUCAAUAAUAAUAAACCACAAAUCCCUACAACUUCAAGCACAACUGAUGAAAUUGCGCUAUAUGAGCGAUGGGAGAGAUCCAAUCGGCUCACUGUAAUUUUAAUCAAGUCUAAUGUUUCGGAUUCAGUUCGUGGUAUUGUUGAUGCAUGUAAAGAUGUCAAACCCUUACUUGAAACUCUUGACGCUCAAUAUGCCAGCUCAAUGAAGUCUUUAACAAGCACCCUUAUUAUGAAAUUUUCUUUCCUUCGUUUAAACACUGUUAAGGGUAUAUGCGAGUACAUCAUGAAGUUUCAGGAUGUAACAAACCAACUGAAAAAACUUGAGGUAGUUUUGCUAGAUGCCUUUGUGGUACAUCAUGUUUUAAACAUGCUUCCACAUCAUUAUGAGCCUUUUAAAAUCUCUUAUAACACGCAUAUGGAAAAUUUGUCUAUCAUUGAUUUAAUGACCAUGUGCGUUGAAAAGGAGGAAAGACUUACAGUGGAAAUGAGUGAAAGUGCAAUGCUUUCCAUACCUCAGGAAAAGGGAAAAUCUCGAAGUACCACUACUAAGGCUAAGGGAAAAGAUAAAACCCAACCUCAAGUUGACAUAAAGAAGAUGCGAAAGUGUUUUUUUUUGUAAAAAGAAAUGACACUUUAAGAAAUAUUGCAUCAAGUUCAAAUAGUAGCUUGAGUACGAAGAGACUUCAAGCAUUAAGGAAGCUAGUGGGAAGUGAACAGACCAUCUUAUCUGGAAACAAGAUGAUGAGACCGGAAUGCAACAAAUAAAUGAUCCAUUAAAAGUCUCGAGUGGCCCGGUAACAAGAUCUAAG
Ipomoea triloba (trilobed morning glory) is the source of this 3195-nucleotide long non-coding RNA. RefSeq lists it as uncharacterized. Lineage: Eukaryota; Viridiplantae; Streptophyta; Magnoliopsida; Solanales; Convolvulaceae. The transcript is spliced from 2 exons. The record is from RefSeq and is a predicted model, not a curated record.